CAAUCCACGUUUUGCAGGAGAUCAGAGAGUUUUCGGAGGUUGGACAGAAAUGGUAGGAAACCUCCCUCGUCCCAUCCCAAGAGCUUGCCAAAUUUGGAGGCGUGUGUAGAGAAGUUGCGAAUGUGGUCCGGGUCGUUGAAGAGAACGGAAUGUACUACAGUUUCAAUCGUCAACGGAGAGCAAAACAGAGAAACAGCGCAAGUCACGUUUUUAGGAGUAUGACUUGCUUGCACUAAACUUGAGUGGACAGAUGGACGGACGGUCGGAUGCAGUACAUGUAUGCAGAGGAGGAGGAGGACGAGGAGGAGGUGGAAAGUAACUCCAACAGCCGCUGAGGCCGCUAUCUUACCUGGAACUUUGGCUACCACGCUUCAGGCCUUGAUCAAGCUGUCAUCAGUACAACUCAAUCUAACAAUUCAUGGCCAACAAGUACUCCAAUCAACCGAUUCAAUCGACCGCUUUGAACCUCAACAAGUCCAGGAGAAUGACGAUGUUCACUCAUCAUCCAUCUAUCCUACACACAUACAUACAUCGCUCUAUCUAUCUAUCUAUCUAUCCAUCCAUCCCGAUCCAUCCAUCCAUGAGGCUAAGUUUGUGGGCAAAGGCCCCCAAAUGCCUGGCCAGUACGAGACGUGCCGUGCCGAUUCCUCAAACAAGUUCCCGAGUGAAGUGACAGCGAAAGAGCAACCUACUUGCAAGCUCAGAUCAGGCCUAAAUCAGUAGGGAUGUGAACGAGCUGCCUUCGCUCUCCAAAUGAACACGGGUCAGAAGAGCUUUUGAGAACUAAGGACGACGAUCCAUGAAAUGUUAUAAAUUGGUGUAUCUUUAUAUGUAAGAGAAUGACAAGUGCUGUAUGAGGAAAUGAUUCAGAUACGGGACUUGACAAUGCCUACUACAAAAAUGUUUUGAUGAUGUGUGAGCAAGGUGCAAUCCUUGCUCCUCGAAAUACCAAAAAAGAAGAAAAAAUAAUAACUCACUAACAGGUGUAAUGAUAUUAA
Long non-coding RNA from Tigriopus californicus, 998 nucleotides. RefSeq lists it as uncharacterized. The transcript has 2 exons. The record is from RefSeq and is a predicted model, not a curated record. Lineage: Eukaryota; Metazoa; Arthropoda; Copepoda; Harpacticoida; Harpacticidae.